CCUACGGGAGGCAGCAGUGAGGAAUAUUGGGCAAUGGGCGCGAGCCUGAACCAGCCAAGUCGCGUGAGGGAUGACGGUCCUACGGAUUGUAAACCUCUUUUGCCGGGGAGCAAGCGUGCGUUCGUGAACGCACGUCGAGAGUACACGGAGAAAAAGCAUCGGCUAACUCCGUGCCAGCAGCCGCGGUAAUACGGAGUAUGCGAGCUGUAUCCGGUUUUUUUGGGUUGAAAGGGUGCGUAGGCGGGAUGCCAAGUCAGCGGUAAAAAUGCGGUGCUCAACCCCGUCGCGCCGUUGAAACUGGCGUUCUUGAGUGGGCGAGAGGUAUGCGGAAUGCGUGGUGUAGCGGUGAAAUGCAUAGAUAUCACGCAGAACUCCGAUUGCGAAGGCAGCAUACCGGCGCCCUACUGACGCUGAGGCACGAAAGCGUGGGUAUCGAACAGGAUUAGAUACCCUUGUAGUC
RNAcentral lists this ribosomal RNA (460 nucleotides) under uncultured bacterium. Its description in RNAcentral is "partial 16S ribosomal RNA". It matches the Rfam family "Bacterial small subunit ribosomal RNA", at positions 338 to 795 of the family's 1533-position model. The record is from RNAcentral.